This 682-nucleotide long non-coding RNA is filed under the name Populus trichocarpa (black cottonwood). Its description in RNAcentral is "long non-coding RNA (PTRI_LNC003485)". The record is from RNAcentral. Lineage: Eukaryota; Viridiplantae; Streptophyta; Magnoliopsida; Malpighiales; Salicaceae.
UUGACUUGACUCGCUUACCAGCUGCUGCUCCCUUGUUCUCAUUAUAACACUCGCCUCAUUUUUUAUUUUCUAUACUCAAAACUCUAAAUGUCAUGGUAAGAAUGAAAUUUUAGCUCAAUUAUAUAUAUAUAUAGUUGUGUUUGUCUUUACUAACCAAUUACUUGUGCAAAUACAUCAAUUUGUUUAGCCAGUGCACCUAUGACAAUAUCAAUUAGGGUAAUGGCUAAGAACAAAAAAAAUGUUAACGUGCAGUUGAAGAAUAUAAUUCCUUGGAAAGAUUUGUAGCGCAGAAGCAUGCGAAGAUGCGUAUUACUGAAAGAACAAUGAUGAAUUGUGUCUGUCCGCCUGCCUUCGCCUCCAAGGUAACCUCCUAGUCCUAGUCCUAGCUUCACUUGAAUGGUCCAUCUUGCAUUGAAUAGUCACCUGCAUUAAUUUCAAUUUUUUAUUUAAUGAACCUUGUCCUCGAACGGUUGUACUAACAUAAUCUUGGGUUAUUUUAAUUUCUAUUCUUAGCUACUAAUCUUGUUUCCGUUCCUUUUUCCUUGCCAAUACAGAUGGAUUACAUUGAAGAAGACGAUUCUCAUGAACAUAAAUUAAAGACAAAUGAAAUGACUUGAUAUAUUGGUAUCGAUGAUUUCCGUAUCUACAUCUAUGUGUCUAAUAGUUGUUUAUCUAGUAGGUG